Molecule: ribosomal RNA, 229 nt
Filed under: uncultured bacterium
Lineage: Bacteria
Description: partial 16S ribosomal RNA
Rfam family: Bacterial small subunit ribosomal RNA
Source: RNAcentral
UGCGCAGGCGGAAUAAUAAGUCAGUGGUGAAAUCUCUCGGCUCAACCGAGAAACUGCCAUUGAUACUGUUAUUCUUGAGUAUAGUUGUAGUGGGCGGAAUAUAGCAUGUAGCGGUGAAAUGCUUAGAUAUGCUAUAGAACACCAAUCGCGAAGGCAGCUCACUAAACUAUAACUGACGCUCAGGCACGAAAGCGUGGGUAGCGAACAGGAUUAGAUACCCUGGUAGUCC